CCUACGGGUGGCAGCAGUGAGGAAUAUUGGUCAAUGGGCGGGAGCCUGAACCAGCCAAGCCGCGUGAAGGAAGAAGGCGCCAAGCGUCGUAAACUUCUUUUGUCGGGGAACAAAGGGCGCCACGUGUGGCGUUGUGAGUGUACCCGAAGAAAAAGCAUCGGCUAACUCCGUGCCAGCAGCCGCGGUAAUACGGAGGAUGCGAGCGUUAUCCGGAUUUAUUGGGUUUAAAGGGUGCGUAGGCGGACAGUCAAGUCAGCGGUAAAAAUGCGGUGCUCAACGCCGUACAGCCGUUGAAACUGGCAGUCUUGAGUGGGCGAGAAGUAUGCGGAAUGCGUGGUGUAGCGGUGAAAUGCAUAGAUAUCACGCAGAACUCCGAUUGCGAAGGCAGCAUACCGGCGCCCGACUGACGCUGAGGCACGAAAGCGUGGGUAUCGAACAGGAUUAGAUACCCGGGUAGUC
Molecule: ribosomal RNA, 459 nt
Filed under: uncultured bacterium
Lineage: Bacteria
Description: partial 16S ribosomal RNA
Rfam family: Bacterial small subunit ribosomal RNA
Source: RNAcentral